UCUUUAAGCGUCGGCUUAGGCAAUGUUUAAACAGGUAAGAAAUGAAAAUAGAAGAAGAGACUUGAAAAAUAAUUGUAAUUCAAGUGUUAUUAACCUGACUGAUGUUAACUUGAUAUACAUGGUAGUAAUGGAAAUUGAUUUUUUGUUUGAUUGCCAUUCAACCUCAACCAUGAUGACCAGUAAUAAGUAUUAUUCUGGCUCAAUUGUCAUUAAAAGUUUAAAAAUGUUCAACACUGAAAAGCUAAUUGGAAGAGGUUAACAUUGAAGUUUAAAACUCUUGACUUCAAUCUUCAGAUUGCAAGGUUGGCUGGAAAAAUGAAUCGCCGUCUAUUAUGAUACUGAACAUGAUGAAAAUGAAAAGCUACAGAAAAGCAAUUUCCUUGUAAAAUAAAGUUAACAGUUGAUAUCAUUUUUUCACAUUCAUCAAGAUCAACUCAAAUCCUUAAUCAUCUAUUAUUAACCUGGUUGAAUUAACCUGAAUAAAUGUAUAAAAAUCAGUAAACUGAAUCGUCAUCAGUAACUUGAUAGGCAAUGAAUUCAAUUAAAGUAACAAAAAAGACACUUUUUCAGAUCAAAACAUUUUUCAUUAAUAAUGUGAAUAUGCUUUUGGUUGUUGAUUUUGCCUUUUUUUGUUUCAACUCUGAAUACUCUGAGCUGAUUGAACUGAAUAAAAGAAUUGCCGAAUUUCAGUUUCUAUAAAUUGGUUAGAUUAAUUAGACUGUUGAAUGGUAUUUAUGAUGGUAAUUAGAUGUGAAAAAUUGAAGUUUACAUGAAAAAAAGAUGAAAUUCACUGAAGAUGUUAUGAUUCAAGUUUAGAUUAACUCUAUUAAAUUAUUGAGUAUAAAUCUUAUUAGUGGUGAUGAUAAUCAAUAUUACAUUAAAUUUAGUUUUAACUACAAUUGAUGACAACAUGAGAAAUGAUUUAAAUCGGUAACCUUGAUGAUUAACCUUAAGGGUAAACAAUUUGUUCAAUUUGUUUCUCUUUUUUUGUGUGUUGAAAAAAUGUCUUUCAGGUUAACUUUGAUAAAUCAACCUGAUUUAGUUAUUAAUAUCAACAAUUUAACGGUCAUUUAAACAUUACUUUCAAGAUCACUUUUCUUGCUUCUUAUAUUGAUUGUUUUUAAAUUCAAUUAUUUAGCUAAUUGUUAGUUAUGACAAUUACAUUGAGAAAAUUAAUAUAAUUGGAAACCUUUUCUUUUGACAUUAUUACCAGUAAUUCAAAAAAACCGCAAAAAGUUGAAUCUUACUCAUUGGGUUAGCUUGUAAAGUUAACGGACAUUUGGUUUAAACGUUUUCUUGCUAAAUUUUUUCACUACUGUUAACAACUGUAACUUAAUAAUCAUAAUUGUGAAUUUAAAAUACAGUUAAUCACCUAAUAUGAACUUUGAAAGGCUAAAUUGUUACCUACAAUUGAUGGAGUGAACAAAAAUACAGUUGUAAUGGAGUUACCAGGCAAACGGGUAAAACUCAACUACCAUAUUUUUGGCUGAUUUUCAACUCUAAAUCUUGGUUUGAAACAGAGUCACGCUAAUAUCAUCAUCAUCUUUAAUCCAUUGAACCGUCCAUCCGAGGAGUUAAAAUACAUUUCUUACAUGAUGCUGGUAAUGAUAAAGAUGGAGAUGAUUAUCAUGAACAAUACCAACAACUUGAAGAGUAACAACAUAGUGAAUAAGGAAGAAAGACUUGGAUUGAUCAAGGAUGAGGAUCAGGAUGAUUUGAGAUGAUCUAAACAUGAAAUGAACAAGACACUGUUAUGAUGGAUUAGGUUAUUACUACCUGUUACAGAUAAUUGUUUCAAAAUUUCAGGCGAACAUGGUAAAAUGAAAAUUAUUGUAGUUUUACUUUUGAAUUUAGACGAGUUAACCCUUGCAUCAUGACCGAGUUGGAAAGCUGUUUGGAUCCCAAAAUUACAUUAAUUUUGUUGCGUUAAGGCGAUUCGUUCAAUCAUUUUGAUAACAUUUCAAGGCCAAUGCUUUUUUUCAAAUAUCAAAUUCAUGUAUGAUGAUGGUGAUGGUGAUGGCGAUUAGCAGUUGUGAAGAAGAGCAAAGUUCAUCAUGAAACUUGAUGUAUUUUAAAUCAGAGUUUCUUAAAAGGUGUCAAAUCUUUGCUUCUCACACCCUCAUUGUAAUUAUGAUGAUGAUGAUUGGUGAUCUUCAUCAUUUUGGACAGUUUCAUUUUUAAUCAAUUUAUCAUCGCAAUGAUGUAUGAGUCUGUUUUCAUAAUCAAUAAUAGGGAAAAAGGGUCAUCAGAAUUAAACAAACUUGUAAAGAGAAACAUCAAAGGAGAUUUUGAUUCAGACAAAUGAUCAAUUUUCGUGUGUAAAUGAAAUAAAUUGCAGCAAGGUUGAAGUUUCAA
Tetranychus urticae (two-spotted spider mite) is the source of this 2355-nucleotide long non-coding RNA. RefSeq lists it as uncharacterized. The record is from RefSeq and is a predicted model, not a curated record. Lineage: Eukaryota; Metazoa; Arthropoda; Arachnida; Trombidiformes; Tetranychidae.